CAGGGUGGGCUGGGCGCGGGGGAGGACCCUGUUGCCGCCGUUUGCCUCCUCACCCCGCCCGUGGCGGUGCGGGAGGUUCCCUCCGCGCCGCAUGGUCCCCGGGCUUGCAACGGGAGAGAGUAGCAAGUGAUUAAAAUUGAGUUGCGCUGGAUAUUUGAAGAAGCACAGCUGCCUGGUGAUCUUCUGUCGUCCAGUGGUGUACAAAGAUCCAUGAGAUCAGCGAGCAAGUAGUUCAGUUGAAGAGCCAGAACAGAGACCUAAGCUUGCAAUAGAAGGCAAUACAAUCAUCAAAGCACUGGCUGGGAGCCUCCAACAGUGGUAUGUGACUGGUGGGCCUGGUGUUACUUCCCUCCCCGCCCUUUUUUGGGGGGGGGACACACACCAGAAUCUCUGGAACUUGGGGGAUUCUUCCUCUGUUUUGUAGGGAAUCCAGGAACGAGAAGCUUUCAGAGGUGUUACUUCUGAAACUUCUUUUGACUUUCUAAUGUUCUUAUGGGUUUUUUUUUACUGCCAUUUGUGCUUAACAAGGGCAAAGCUAUGGGACUCGAUGACUUUAAAAUAUAUUGUUCUAUUGGGAUAAAGAGGUAGCUACCACAAAUAUGUGUCUACUAGAUAAGAAUCAGGAGUUUGUUUUUUUAAAAAAUACUCUGUUAGAUCCUCCUGCCAACCUUUAAAACUGUGCAAACAUCUAGUGUAGCAUUUGUGCAUGAAACAUCUUUAAUGGAGUAAUAAUCUCUAGUUAAUAAUUAAAUCUUCAGGAGGUUUUGUAAUUUGUGGAUGCUACAGUAUUUAAUCUCUUUAUGUGAGACUUCUUAAAGAGGAAUAUUCAGAAUUCAAGCUUCAUGAAGGGAAUCCUAGCCUUAUGUAAAGACUAAUUUAACAUACCACAGGUUUAACUUGUUAUUAGUGUGAAGAAUAAAAAUUGGUCUCUCAGACUAAAAAUUAUGCUUUAUUUGCAGUUACAGGUAAAUUUCUUAGGCUGUUGAUUGUCAAACUAUUGUUCAGAGAUGCAUUAAUGAGCAUCACAAGUGCUGAAGUGUGUCAGUUUUCAGUCAAUGACGCUUGGCUGGUUUUAGUCAAUACAGUACUUAACACACUAACGUAUGCAUCAUAUUAAUGGAAGUAUCAUUGUGCAACAUUGGUAUGCUACAGUAAAAAGCAGGCUUUCAUUAUAAGAGAUGAUGAGCUUUUAAAUAAGUCUGUGGGAACGGGAUACCUCCCCCUCUCCACAGUCUGUUUAAAGUUCACGCUUUAAUCAUUUCUCCUUCUCUGUAAGAAUUCAUACACUCCUGUCCCAACACCUGUAUUCAAGAUUUGACAAAUAGUGAAAAAAGUUUUAAUAACUGAACGGAGGGAGGGCUGCCAUGUAGCUCUUUCAUAUGCACAGUUGUACGCUAAGAACUCCAGGGGUGCAAAAUCUUAAGAAAACAGGUAAAUGUCAGAAUACAAUCUGAUGUUAUCUUUCCCAAAGUAAUAUUAUCCUACCUGUUUGAAAUAGAAGGCCUACGUAAAGAGGAUUGUGUAGACUAAUACCAUUGAUUUGGGAUGUCUUCUCUGAAACACUUCAGUUUUGAUUUUUCAAUUACACUGUUGGUGGGAGAUCCAUUUCCUGUUUCAGAGGUUGGUGGUCUUAUUUGUAGAACCAGCAUUGCAGUGCUUGUUUUCUUCUGUAUUGUUCUGUUAAAAAAAAACAAAACAAAAAAAACCAAACCCACAAAAAACCCACAAAAACAAAACCCAAAAAACCCCUCCAAACCUGAAGUUUGCAACCCUUGGCAAGUUGCUAAUGAAUAUCAAAAUGACAUAGCCAUUCUGUAUUUGCCAGCAGUAGAAAUGUAGCCAAUGCUGAUGCAGUGUUCUUUUAGAGCUCUUCUGCAUUGUUAGCACUUUAAGGAAAACCAGCUGAAGACCUGUCCCCUUUUCAAUCUUUGGCAAGUCCACAUCUACUGACAGAAGAAGAGAUGCGUGAAAGUUCACGGUAUCACAAUCCAGCAGUUCAUUGUGCUGCUGGUUACUUUGCUGUUUGAGCCUCAAAUAACUUUUCUGGAAUUGCACAGGAAGUUUUGAAGCAUUUUCUCUGAAAAUCUGCAGCCUACUGACUGCACUAUCCAGUCCUUGCAAUAAGGAAAAGAAAAAAAAAACAAACAAACCAGUAAAAUUGGCCCUUGUAUGGAUGGAGUGAAGGUAGGAUGAGGGGAGAACAGGGGAGAAUUAUUAGGGACAAAAGUAGAAUUAGUACAGCGUAAAGAAGGGACAAGUAUAGAAUUCUGCAUCUUUAAAGGUGCUUUUUUUGCUGGAUUUCCAUUUCUUUGCUCUUAGCUCCCUAAAUAUGAAGCAGGCCAAUAAAAGGUAAAAGGGCAAACUGAGAUCUUUAAAAAGGGAACACUGAUUAUUUUUAAUUCUUCUGUAACUGUUGUUAGAAAGGGGCUUUUAUAUUUUAGCAUUUUGGACCGUUUCUUGAAUGUGUUAAGCACUGGAAUCAAAGUAUUAAUUUGAAGAUAAGGAAUCAUCAAAUACUUUUCUACGAUCUGUAUCUU
Aptenodytes forsteri (emperor penguin) is the source of this 2537-nucleotide long non-coding RNA. RefSeq lists it as uncharacterized. The transcript is spliced from 2 exons. The record is from RefSeq and is a predicted model, not a curated record. Lineage: Eukaryota; Metazoa; Chordata; Aves; Sphenisciformes; Spheniscidae.